RNAcentral lists this ribosomal RNA (527 nucleotides) under uncultured fungus. RNAcentral's name for it is "eukaryotic LSU rRNA". The stretch from base 181 to 334 matches the Rfam family "5.8S ribosomal RNA". Lineage: Eukaryota; Fungi. The record is from RNAcentral.
AAGUCGUAACAAGGUCUCCGUUGGUGAACCAGCGGAGGGAUCAUUACAGAGUUGCAAAACUCCCAACCCUUUGUGAACAAACCUACCAGUUGCCUCGGCGGCGAGCCUUCAGGGCGGACCGCCGGAGGAAUACAAACUCUUUGCAUUUUAGCAUCUCUGAUUACUUAUUCAAUAAGUUAAAACUUUCAACAACGGAUCUCUUGGUUCUGGCAUCGAUGAAGAACGCAGCGAAAUGCGAUAAGUAAUGUGAAUUGCAGAAUUCAGUGAAUCAUCGAAUCUUUGAACGCACAUUGCGCCCGCUAGUAUUCUGGCGGGCAUGCCUGUUCGAGCGUCAUUUCAACCAUCAAGCCCUAGGCUUGUGUUGGAGCCCUGCGGCCGCCGCAGCCUCCCAAAACCAGUGGCGGGCUCGCUAUCACACCGAGUGCAGUAGUUUACUCUUCGCUCAGGGCGUGUGGCGGGUGCUAGCCGUAAAACCUCCUACUUCUCAAGGUUGACCUCGGAUCAGGUAGGAAUACCCGCUGAACUUA